This 2409-nucleotide ribosomal RNA is filed under the name Parastacus pugnax. RNAcentral describes it as "eukaryotic LSU rRNA". It matches the Rfam family "Eukaryotic large subunit ribosomal RNA", at positions 87 to 1739 of the family's 3401-position model. Lineage: Eukaryota; Metazoa; Arthropoda; Malacostraca; Decapoda; Parastacidae. The record is from RNAcentral.
GGGCGACUGAACCGGGAAGAGCCCAGCGCAUAACCUCGCGUCCUCCCCGGCGCGAGGGGUGUUGCGUUUCGGAGGGUCCGGCACGCCGCGCCAUACCGCCUAAGUCAAGCUUGAAAGCGGCCACUACCCGUGGAGGGUGACAGGCCCGUGUGGCGGCGCCCGCGAGGGUAAGGAUGGCGCGGUCGGAAAGGGCCUCUCCGUAGAGUCGGGUUGCUUAAUAAUGCAGCCCAAAGCAGGUGGUAAACUCCAUCUAAGGCUAAAUAUGACCACGAGACCGAUAGCGAACAAGUACCGUGAGGGAAAGUUGAAAAGAACUUUGAAGAGAGAGUUCAAGAGUACGUGAAACCGUUAAGAGCCAAACGGAUGGACCCUCGAAGGUCGAACUUGGGGAUUCAGCUCGUCGGCCGUCGGCUGGGCGCGGGUGUUCGUUAACUCGUAGCGACCCGAGAGAGCUCGGGCGCGCUCGCCUCCACGCCGGCGCCGGCGGGCGUAUUUCCCCUCGUAGUAGGGCGCCGCGACCCGUCGCUGGGGACGUCGAAGGCUCUGGCGGAUUGGUACCCCACCUCCAACCGGAGCGUUAGCGCGUUCCGGCGGGGUGGGCGAAACCGCCGGUGACCCUGGCUGCCCUGCGACGGUCGUAGAGACGAGCCCUCCCCCUCGCGGGCGGGCUCUCGCGGCGUGCAAAAAGAUCGGUGCUCCAUCCGACCCGUCUUGAAACACGGACCAAGGAGUCUAACAUGUGUGCGAGUCAGUGGGCGCACUAAACCCAAGGGCGCAAUGAAAGUGACAGGUCCGGCGUGCGCGUCGUUCUGCGGCGCGGGCGCCGGAACCGGGGCCGAUCCCCCGCCGGCUGCCUCCGGCCGUCCCCCUGCGCCUCGGCACGCCCAGGUGAGCCAUUUUCCCUGGCCUCUGCCGGGGCGCUGUCCGCGGGGGCGCCGGAGCGCGAAGGCGCGUGAGACAUGAUCAUCCUGUUCGCAGGGGGGCGCAGGCCCGGGACUUGCCAAGACGCCGGCAGGCUCCGCGAAGCUUCGGGCGAGCGGGUUAUCACGCGUGCAGUCCGCAAGUACCACCACCAGACAUGUUGGGACCCGAAAGAUGGUGGACUAUGCCUGGCCAGGAUGAAGCCAGAGGAAACUCUGGUGGAGGUCCGUAGCGAUUUUGACGUGCAAAUCGAUCGUCUGAGCUGGGUAUAGGGGGGAAAGACUAAUCGAACCAUCUAGUAGCUGGUUCCCUCCGAAGUUUCCCUCAGGAUAGCUGGAACUCGCAGGAUGAAUUUCAUCCGGGAAAGCGAAUGAUUAGAGGUCUUGGGGACGAAACGUCCUCAACCUAUUCUCAAACUUUAAAUGGGUGAGAUGCCGAGCUUGCUUGAACGCUGAAGCUUCGGCGAUUAAUCUGAGUGUCUAGUGGGCCAUUUUUGGUAAGCAGAACUGGCGCUGUGGGAUGAACCAAACGUCGAGUUAAGGGGCCUAAAUGAAUGCUCAUUCAGAUCCCAUCGAAAGGCGUUGGUUGCUAUAGACAGCAGGACGGUGGCCAUGGAAGUUGGAAUCCGCUAAGGAGUGUGUAACAACUCACCUGCCGAAGCAACUAGCCCUUAAAAUGGUAUGGCGCUCAAGCAUUCUCCCGAUACUCGACCGCCGGGGCACUAGCGGCCACGUCCUUGGAGGCGAGGUCUCGAAGCCCCGGUGAGUAGGAGGGUCGCAGUGGUGAGCGCUGAAGGGAUCCGGCGUGAGCCGGCCUGGAGCCGCCACUGGUGCAGAUACUUGGUGGUAGUAGCAAAUACUCGAGAGAGACUCCCUUGAAGACCGAUGUGGAGAAGGGUUCCAUGUGAACAUCAGUUGGACAUGGGUUAGUCGCUCCUAAGCCCAAGGCUAAGGCCUGAUCCCACGCUAGCGGCAACGGCCAACGGUUUUAAGAGAGAAGGAAGGUGUAAUGGGGGUGAGUAGGAAGGAGAAGAAGAAGAAGAAUAAUAAUAAUCAUCAUCAGCAGCAGCAGCAGCAGACGGCCGACGCUGUCGUCGUCGCCGCCGCCGCCGCCGCCGCCUCCACCACCUCCUGCACCUCCUGCUCCUGCUCCUGCUCCUCCUCCUCCUCCUCCUCCUCCUCCUCUUCUUCUUCUCGUCACACAGACGAGAGAGAGAGAGAGAGAGAGAGAGAGAGAGAGAGAGCGAGCGAGCGAGCGAGAAAAAACAGAGAUCUCUGUGGUGUUGCCCGGGAUUAGUGGCGAAAGGGAAUACGGUACUUAUUCCGUAACCAGGACUCGGAUACCAAGCAGGCGCAAGCGCCCGCAACGGAAUGCUGCCCUGUGGAGGACCCCGGUAACGGGAACCAGCUCGCGUCCGCCGGCGGUGGUCCGGGAAAGAGUUUUCUUUUCUGUUUAAGGCGCCGUGACCCUGGAAGCCAUUCGCAGAGA